This 71-nucleotide transfer RNA is filed under the name Dehalococcoidia bacterium. Its description in RNAcentral is "tRNA-Glu". It matches the Rfam family "tRNA". Rfam says of the family: Transfer RNA (tRNA) molecules are approximately 80 nucleotides in length. Their secondary structure includes four short double-helical elements and three loops (D, anti-codon, and T loops). Further hydrogen bonds mediate the characteristic L-shaped molecular structure. tRNAs have two regions of fundamental functional importance: the anti-codon, which is responsible for specific mRNA codon recognition, and the 3' end, to which the tRNAs corresponding amino acid is attached (by aminoacyl-tRNA synthetases). tRNAs cope with the degeneracy of the genetic code in two manners: having more than one tRNA (with a specific anti-codon) for a particular amino acid; and 'wobble' base-pairing, i.e. permitting non-standard base-pairing at the 3rd anti-codon position. The record is from RNAcentral. Lineage: Bacteria; Bacillati; Chloroflexota; Dehalococcoidia. RNAcentral also lists the same sequence under 1 other name.
AGGCCUGUGGUCUAAGGGUAGGACGGCUCUUUCUCAAAGAGCAAGUGCGGGUUCGAGUCCCGCUGGGAUUA